AAGUAUAUUUAUAGGUCAAAGAUAUCUGGGCAUCUAGAGAUAUCAAUCUUUAGGAAAAACUGUGCAAUGAUGAAACUCUCCAUCUCAGAACUGAGAGGUCAGUUGUUUAUGAUUCUAAUCUAGCCUUCCGAGGCCUCAGAGAGACACUGAGAUGCCAUGUUCCUAUAUCCUGUUUGAUGCACCUAUCAACCCAGUGUGGUGAUUCCGCAGCGGUGUAAGUGGAAAAGCCAGAGCCAGACUGCGUGACUCCACUUCUCUGAUUCCCUUUCCUCAUCUGUAAAAUGGGAAUAA
RNAcentral lists this long non-coding RNA (291 nucleotides) under Pan troglodytes (chimpanzee). RNAcentral's name for it is "long non-coding RNA NONPTRT011953". Lineage: Eukaryota; Metazoa; Chordata; Mammalia; Primates; Hominidae. The record is from RNAcentral.